GUGUUAGCUUUGGCAUGACAUAUGCUAAAAUUGGAAUGAUACAGAGAUGAUUAGCAAGGCCCCUGUGCAGAUUUGUGGUGCUCCAUAUUUUA
RNAcentral lists this small nuclear RNA (92 nucleotides) under Nannospalax galili (Upper Galilee mountains blind mole rat). Lineage: Eukaryota; Metazoa; Chordata; Mammalia; Rodentia; Spalacidae. The record is from RNAcentral.